AGAUGAUAACAUCCAUUUUUAAGUAUGAUGGGAUAUUUUGGCACCAAAAUCACCCCUUGUCGAUGUGAAGACACUUAUUCAUUAAAUGACACACACACCAUUAUUAGGAAUAUUGUUUUUAGUUUUUAUUCUUGUUUCAAAAUAAAAUAAAAGUUACCUAGGAAUUAAUUUUACAUGUUUAGUUGCCUGUAUAACAUCAUAAAUGCAAGUAUGCAAAAAGAAAACAAAUAGUUUGCCACACAUAAACUUUUGCUCAUAUCAGGGUGGUAUUUGAUGACCAUGCAAUAAAAAUUACAUUCAUGUAAAAAUACAGUUACAUCAUACAAGUUGGAUGUACAUGGGAGAAACCUUUUUUUAUUAUUUAUUCAGUUUUCACAUUCGCAAGAAAUGCCAGUUUUAUUUUGUGAAUUAAAACAUUACUGCUGUUGUGUGUACAAACCUUCUGGCUAGUAAAUGUAUACAAUGCAUUAAAGAGACUUUCAGCUUCACGUAAGUGCAAACAAUGAAUGGAUCGGAAAAUCACUACAGAUAUUUUUAACAGAUACUAGAAGUAAGGAUAAUAAUGAAUAUGAAGCUGUAUCCACCUCCUAGUCUUAUUGUACUUGAAGCCUGAGUGAUGAUGAUAGCUGCUACACAUGAUUAUUUAAGUAUAACGAAAAGCCAGCUGAAGUGUUCUUGAACAAUGACACUUCUCACCUCUGUUUCAAUAAAGAUCAUAUAAGAACCUGUCAUCGAAUCUUACGGAUCGUUAUAUACAAAGAGCUAAAAUGUUUUUUCAGUGCAUAGAGUAUACCCACACCGUUACAUUAUCCCAUGCCAUGGCCCAAUGCCCAUGUGAUGCAGAACUAGAUGGGUUUGUUCUCUGCCUGUUGUCUAAUGGGCCUUUGCAGAAUUGUGACAUUGUUUUUUAUGUUCUCCCGCACAUUGGUUGGAGUAAAAAGAGAGUGCCAUGAUUGUGCAUUUCCCAAUUAAUCCCCAUCUGCCCAUGGGGUGAAGGACAAAGAAACUAUAUUGAAUCCCUUCUGUUUCUUGGUGUGUACCAGAUCCCUUCUAUUGAUUUUCUCAAAUUCACUAAUGCUGGUAGUUGAUGUAUCCAGCUGGCUGAUUGAUUAAUUUAUUCAGGGGGUCAGGGCAAAAAAGGGUACCACAAAAGGGAUAAAGAGGGGUCUACAAAUAAGUAGUGUGUCACAAGAGGUGGUAAGGAGAGUGCCAGUAAAUUGGACAGUAAGGGAGCAAUAAGAGGGAUGGUGUAAGGAUCACAUGAGGGAAAAUGCAUGGAACCUCAAGAAGGACAAAGGGUAAUCACUGGUAAUUUUGAGAAUGUAAAAGGGACAGGGAAUGAGCUGCUGUUGUAUAUAAUUUGGUAUUCUAUACUCUGAGCAUACAUGUCUGUAUACGGAUAACUGUAUAGUAGUCUAGGUGGCUAAUUACAUUAGACAUUUUGAUAUAAAUGAGAAUGCUAUGGAGUCAAUAUUUAAAUUUGUCCAAUAUCUAGCUACAGGAAUUGUAGUAUAAAUGAAUACUGUAAAAAUAUAGAAAUCGUUAUAACUUGAAAUUCCAUUGCAAAUAGUUAAUAAACCUCAUUUAUCAAUGGAUAACUUACCGUAGUCAUAUUUCAUGGUUGUUUUGGUUAAUGAACAGACAUGGAUUCUCUCUGUAAAACUGAAAAUGUAUUGAUCCAUACUGUAAUUUUUAAGUCUAGGCCAUGGCAGCAUUACAAUAAGUAUAUCCCUCCUCUUACAUCUUCUGGGCAAUGAACUAAGAAGACAAUCCUUCCCUUCCAUCCUUCUAAUAGCCUCACACAGUAAUAGGUUUGGGAGGAAACUUAGUGCGGUCGUGGCCUAUGAAUAGGAAAUUAAAAUUGUGGUAACUAUGAAUACAUUUUCCAUUUCCCUAGCCAUAUCCAUGGCAAUAUUACAAUGGGUAAUAUCUAAGCUACAGAACAAGUGAAGGAAAUAAAACACACAAAAAUAGAAAAGAUAUUGAAGACAAAAUGGCAAGUAAUUAAUAUUACUUGUAGAACUUUGAGGCUGAAUUAUUAGAAGCAGCAGACACAUAUAGAUGAAAAUGGCACAUAAAGAUGUUCUUAGAGGACCAUGUGACUUCACAACAGAUCUGCCCAAGGGAGAUACCAUCCACUGACACCAAGAUAAAAAGACAAUCGGAUCUUCAGAUGCCAUCUACCAGGGCUAUCAGUAGGUACUGGAGAUGGUUUAUACAAUCUUGUAACUCAGAUUAGUAAAAGAUACGGCUUUGCUUUUAAUGACACAUGAAUAUAGAAUGAAAAGAUGCAAUUAUUUACUUCAAAAAGCCAUUCAUGAAAUGUAAGCUCUAACCUAGUCUAAAUUAUACCAUCAUUCUUCCUCACCUGAUAUUGGAUGCAAGGUAGGCAGCAUAACCUUCUGGUUAACAUUAAAACAGAACACCAACUUUAGCCUGAAUUAUGGAAUGGUUCUGUGGGCAGUUUUAUUUUUCAUGAAAUUGUGUGAAAGGGGCUUCACAUGAAAAAGCCUGAAUACUUUACAUUCUGUGAUCCUUGUGAGGUUCAGGCUCCAAGGAGGAAAAUCUUCCAAGAGAGAAUGGUCAAAGGACCCUAAUCCAAAAGCUUAAAUGGAGGAUCUAUGAGACACUGAAGGACUAAUAGUAAAUUACCUGUGGGUGGAAAAGCUUUAAGUAUCUCAUUAAGGAAAUGCAUCUUCAUUUAGCACUUCUCUAAUUGCAGUGAGGGCUGAAAGAGCGGGGAUCUGAACUUUGAGUAUUAAGACAACAUGACUCAAGGAGAACUCUUACAGAGACUCUUGAAGACUGUGUCACAUCCUAAAGGCACUGAUAAGUGGAUCAAUCCUCUUUUGGUCCAAGGGUGCUAAGGGUGUUGAAAGGCCCUCGUCCAUUUAGGAGUCCGUAUUGUCUUUAGUGAUUGAAAAACAAAGUCCUGUACACAAUCUGAUGUGUAAGAGGGACUUUCACGUGUUUCGCUGGCUUCCUUGAUGCUUUGAGACGUUUUUGUGUAAUGGAAAGACUUAGACUCACAACAACCUGACUACCCAAUGGGCAAAGACUCAUUCCCACUAGGGCCUUAUUGUUGCACACCUCACAAUAAACUGAUUUUUUUCCCUUCUAUGAAGAACAUGAAAACCCACGUUCAGGGCUGAAAAAUGUAAAUGCCCUUUUAGAAUUUACCUUUAGCAUGUAUCCAAUGAAGGAUAAUAAAAAUAAAAUGUUAAAAAGAUAGUAACGAACAAGAAUAAUAAAACAAUGUCCUAAGAGGUGUCAGAGCUCCUUUGGGAUAAGGACCAGAAAAAUGCAAGUAAGCCAAAACAUCAUAUGUUAAGAGCUACCUGUCCCAGGUGUGAACAGGGAAAUAGAUGGGGAGGUUUGGUACAUUAACAAUUGUAAUACUGCCAUGGAAAAAAAGUUUAUAAAAAAUACAGAGCUUGGUUUCAGGCAUUCUAGUAAGUGUGACUCCUGUUACUAUAUGGUGAUACUCUACAGGCUCAUCGCCAUGUUUCCUACAAACUGGAGAGAUGUAAACAUAUGUAAAAAUACAUAUAGAUCUUUUUUCGGAAUGGGCAAUAUAGUAUGCAAAUGCUACAUGGUGGAAAAUGUAUGGUUAAAGCCCUAAUGCAGAGUUUUCAUAAUUUCGGUCUACAUUCACAAUACAAUAUUGAUGUAUAAUGCUCAUGGCAUCUAGGUAAUGUAAAAGUUUCUGCAGAGCAACUUCUUGAAUUAGAAAUAUGGCAUACCCAUGCAGUUUUAAACUUUUGCAUUACAAAUAAGUGGACUUUAAUAUAUUGUACCUAUUUUCUUUAAACAUUUAAGUAUGAAAUAGAUCUCCUGCCAUAGAUUUUUACUCUCCAACUUGCACCAUUGGGCUGAUGGCUACGAUUCAUGUGCCACAGACUUCUUUCCCAUGCAAUAAAGAAUAAAAACAAGAUCAGGGCCACUAAAUCGGGGAUUUAUCGGGUGACUGCAACCCCAAUUGGUAUGCCAUUGGCACGGGCUGGGAUAACAAAAGGACGGUAUCUCUUAGUACCUUAAGCACUGUAUUUCAGUAUAAAUAAAAAAGUAUUAAAUCAGACACUCAUAAUUUCGUAAUAUGUCCACAUAGCCCACCCUGAUUCUUCUCACUACAGUUGGCCACUUUACACCAGUUAUUUUAAAUUUGAAAUUGUUCUUCAACAUUUUUUUCAGUAAAUUGAAAGUCAGAAAGGGAAUGUUGUGCACUGGCUUUUUUUGUUUUUAUUUUACACAUGUAUAUUAUAUAUAAUGUUUAUAUUUAUUGAGUGACCUAUGACCUUAGCCCACAAAUGAUACCCGGUGCUCCUCCUAGAGGAAGUGGUAGUGGGAAGUGGUUGCCCCAGGUAAACAGAGGUUGCUACAACCACUGACGUACGUGAGGCUAAUUUGAAUAUUAAGUCCUAUCUCUGGACUGGAUUUGAAAGUUCUGUGGUGGAGCCAGGCAAAGAUAGACAGAACUGCACACCCAUCCCCUUCAAUCAGGAAAUGACCAUUCAAAUCUAGAGACUCUAGGUGAAAUCUGAUAAUUAUACACUUUUUGUUUUUACAUUUCUAUGCC
This 4576-nucleotide long non-coding RNA is filed under the name Pelobates cultripes (western spadefoot toad). The record is from RNAcentral. Lineage: Eukaryota; Metazoa; Chordata; Amphibia; Anura; Pelobatidae.